RNAcentral lists this long non-coding RNA (4692 nucleotides) under Sus scrofa (pig). RNAcentral describes it as "lncRNA (ENSSSCG00000053459.1)". The record is from RNAcentral. Lineage: Eukaryota; Metazoa; Chordata; Mammalia; Artiodactyla; Suidae.
CGUCCUGUUUUCUCCUCUGGUUUCCUCAGUGCUGGCACUCAGGGACUGGGGACUGUACAACCACGUCACUCUCCCAGCACUGCCCGGAGUUUCUUCCAGCUUUCCCCAUUCUUGCUGUCGGUGACACAGUUGGUGAAUUGGCCCAGCCCCCGCCAAGGCCAUGGGGUUUGAUUAUGAUCUUGGGAUCUGAUUCCAGAACCACUCUGAACACUUUGCUUCUGUCCUGAGACAGACACAUGAGAGAAGAAACCUAUCCUCCACGCUUCCAGCUUCUGUUCACUCCUCUACCUCAGUAAGUUGGGGCCAGCCGCCCAGCUCCCCAGAAAUGCGCUCUCUGCCUCUUUGGUUCUUUCGGGAGGAUGACUGGGUUUUGGUAUCAGCACGCAGGAUGCACGCUCUUUCGGUCCUGCCCCAGCUGAAGGUCUUUGUGGCGGAGACACCAUUGGCUCAUCGAGAUGCCUUCCUAGCAGGUCCUCAUGCUUCUUUGCUCCCUGCUCCUCUCCCAGCCUCGCCCAACCGCCGCUUGAACGUCGGUUUCCCUUCCCUGCGCACUGGGCAGCCCCCUUCUCCCACAAUCCCUCUGAGAUGGUUUCGUUCACACUGGGGUGUUGACUGUCGCCUCUGGGCUUGUGGAUCUGCCAGGGGUGCAUCACCAUGCCAGCUUCUUCUCCUAAACCUCAGCAUCUCUAUCCCGAUGCCUGCCGGACAUAACUAGUCAUCCCUGCACAGGUGCAUGGAAUUCAGGACGUGCAAAACUAACCCAGCACCUUCUUCCCCAAACUCACAGCUCUUCUUUGUGUCCCCUCUCCAUUAACCAAGCACCCAAGGCAGAAGCACGAACAUCUUCCUAGACCUCGAAGGUUCUCCUCCGUCCACUGCAUUCCCCAUGCAGUCAGUAGGUUCUGCGGACUUUGUCUCAUCACUGCCUCUCCUCCUCUGCUGCCGCAUCCUGAUCCAGGCCCUUAUCACCUCCCUGGGCUAUCUUGUCCUCUGGUUUUGUCCUCCAUGAAGCCAUCCUUCUCUCUGUAGCCAUGUCUAAAAUUCCCACAUGUUACCAUGUCUCCCUCCUUGAAAUCCUUGAGUGGCAUCGUGUCACCCCCAGAGUUAUCCCCAGCUCCUUCGAGGGCUGCCCAGCUCUUUGUGGCUCUUUUCUCCAGACCCAUUUCCAGACGUUCUGUGUCUGCUUUCCCUUCUCCUAGUACCUUCUUGGCAUUCAGGGAGCAGUCCAUGUGCUUUCAUGUUUCUGUGCUUGUCUUGGGCUGUUCCUUUCCAUGGACUUCACACCUUAGCUCAGAUUUGAUGCCAUAUGUUGUUCCGGCCUUCCUCGUCCUCAGUCACUGAAGUUCCUGCUGACAGCUAUGUCUCCCUCCUGCUGUGCCUGCCCCCAAUGCUGAGGAGCCUUGUGCGUUCCUCGCGGAAUCGCCUCCAUCUCGGUUCACACUUACAGUGACCGUGUGGUCCUUGUCACCAUUCUGUGGAUGAGGAAACUAAAGCUCAGAAGCUAAAUACAUACUUUGCUCAAUGUCAUGUAGCAGCUGUAACCGUAGAGCUGGGGUUUUUGUUAGUGUGUAUACAUGCUAGUUCUGCAUCCAGAAUGAAAGUGUCACUUGCAGUUGUAAAUUGGGAAAUACUCACUUUACCAAAGUUGGCUGUGGUUUUUUGAGCUAGUAGAAAGAACAGUGGAGCUGGGAGAAUAGGAUGAAGGCCAUCAAAUCAUACCAAUUUCCAGCUGUAAGAUAAAUAUGUACUAAAGUUACAGUGUACCCUGUGACAGAUGUAAUUAAGGCAGCUCUAGGUUAUACAUCAAAUAAGAAAGUAAAUCCCAAGAAUUCGCAACAUGAGGAAACAAUGUCUUUUUCUGUUUCUUUAAUUUUGUAUCUAUGUGCUAUGAUGGCUCAUGACCAUUUCAUGCUGUAUGUGAGUCAGAUCCUUGUACUGUACAUCUUAAACAUAUACAUUGCUCUGUUCCAUUAUAUCCAAAAACUGGAAGGAAAAAAAAGAACAUGGGGUUUGAUAGCAAAGGCCUGGUUGAAGUAUUGUUGUAGCCACUUCCUGCCAAACCACCUCGUGCAAGCUACUCCCUCCUCCCCCAGCCUUUGCUCAACCUGAGUAGUGUGGGGAGAGCUCUGAAAGGGCCGUGUCUGGGCCUUAUCCAUCAACUUUUCAUUUGAGCUUCCAUAUGUGGAUAUACCUCAGAGACCAGAUCCUGGCAAAUUAUUCUUGUUUUGUCACCGUAUGAUGCCCCAGCGUCUUUACAAAUUAGAGAUGUUUUCCUUUAGUUUUGAGGAGUACAUGGGGAUGUUGCACACACCCUCCAGAGUCUGGAAGUACAGGUGCACAUCCUGAGAAGUUCAUACCUUCACUUGGAAGCGGGGUUUCAGGUGUUGGCCAAAGCAGGUCACUGUCUAAGGGAGAGGCACUCAUGUGGCCCUGACUCAGGGCUGCCUCUCCAUCCUGUAGUUAUGCUGUGGACAUGGUGCUACCUCCUUGCUCGGUGCUCUGUUGCUGCUUUUCUUACCUGAGGGUUCACUUUGGCAGAUUUCUUUUCUCAGCUCUUUCACCUUUCUUGAUAGAGUAUCUGGUGUUGUCACUGAGGGCCCUGCUUCCCAUGGGGAAUCUGGCUGGUGUGUGUGCAGGGGCCAUUCAGACAAGGCAGUUUUGAAGGGGGCGUUACAAAAUUUUGUGAGAGUUCCUGAAGUGACUCAUUGGGUUAAGGCCCUGACAUAGUCUCUGUGAGGAUGCAGGUUCAAUCCCUGGCCUCGCUCAGUGGGUUAAGGAUCUAGCAUUGCUGUGGCUAUGGUGUAGGCCAGCGACUGUAGCUCUGAUUCGACCCCUAGCCUAGGAACCUCCAUAUGCCUCGGGUGCGGCCGUAAAAAGGAAAAUAAAAAGUUAUGGUCUGCUUCCCCAUUGGAUCACCUCAGGUGCCUACUUAUAAAGGAGGAGGAUUUACUGGUGGGCUGAUGGAGUUGCGGUCUAUCAUUAAUUUGGAUAAAACUUUUUUGUGUGUGUGUCUUCCAGAGCUUACGCGUAGUCUGAAAGGGAAACUUUAAGUAAGUAGUCACACUUCUGUGUGCGGUCUACAGUGAAAGGGGAAAUGGAAGGUUUGAGGGGCUCUGAAGGACUGCGGGGAUCUGUCUGCCUGGUGCCCCUUUUCUAGGACUCAUCCCUAGUACCCAGCCUUCCACAGGGUUAUUACAAGUGGAACCAAUGCCAGGGUCAUUGAUUGGUUCAAAGGCGAGCAGACUAUCAGACUGGAGCUGUAACUACUUCCCCGGGAAUUUUGGAAAUGGACCAGAGGCAGGAAGGCUGAGGACUCUGGCGUCUAAACAGUAAUCUUUACCAUCAGAUUUCCUUUUUUGCUUCAGUAGUAUGGGUUGAGUUUCUGUUGGGUAACAUCAGAGCAGAUCUUUGUAGCACAGGGACCUAGUCCAAAUCCAGGAAUCAGGGCAAGUCGCCUACAACAUGUGUUUACACAGCCUUGUGACUGUUGCUUAGAUUCCAGGAUAACCUGCACAUGAUCCCCUGACCUGAGCGCAGCUGGGCUUGGCUUCUGUUUCUCCCUAGGAUGGAUUUGUUCAUUCAGGUGAAGGCCUGUGGUGUUUUAGGAAUGAUCCCAGGACCUGGGAAAUGUAUGAUGCCCUGGCCCUUAGAGCAGCUUUUGCUCUUUCCUGAGCCACUUGCUCACACUGGCAUGUGCCCUGUUGUUUGUUUCCUCCUAGGUUUUGGUUACAUUACGGGUUAUGUAGGUUAUGGUCAGGUUUUGGUUAGGUUACGGGUUACAUAGAUUUUGGUGGGGGAGUCUGGGAAACUGACUUCCCUGUGACGCUGUCUAUGGUUAGUGCAUUUCCUAGUUGGUGGGGAAGAGAAUUUGUGCCCUUAGGCUGUAGUGGUUCAUAAAUGCAACAAGUACUUUUUCAGUACCUUCUCUGUGCUGGCACUGUGCCAAACUUUGGGAACAGUAACAAAAGAUACUGAAAAGGCCCCACUGUCAGGGAGCCUCAAUUCUAAUGGCGGGAGAUGGGCGAUAAAGAGGGGAUGAACAGAUAACGUAGUUGGUGAUAUGCCACGAAGAAAGUCAAGAGGAAGUGGUGGGGGAGGAGGACUGCGUGGGGAUGGAGCGUGACUUUCGGUGGAAAGGCAGCCGGAAAAGGAAGGUUUUCAGGUGACCAGGGAAGGAAGGGACCGUGGUGCCUCCAGGCACCUGCCCUCCAGAGCACCUGCUGUGAGAUGGAAAGGAUGGAUGUGUGGGUCUCAGGCUCUGAGGAGUCAGUGUGCUGUAUACCUGGACUGUCCCCACAUGGGACCACCAGCCACAGGUGGCUCCUGACCAAAUCCUGACCACGGGGCUAGUCCAAAUCAAAAUGUUCUCUAAAUGUAAAAUAUACACCAGGUUCCAAAGGCGUAUUAUGAACAAAAGAACGUAAACCUUUUCAAUAUUUUUUAUAUUGAUUGCACAAUGGAUUGAUUCUGUUUUGUCAUAUUGGGUAUAUAAAAUAUGUGAUUAAAAGAAAUUUCACUGAAGUUCCCAUCAUGGCGCAGCAGAAACAAAUCUGAUUAGGAACCAUGAGGUUGCGGGUUCAGUCCCUGGCCUUGCUCAGUGGAUUAAGGAUCCAGCGUGGCCAUGAGCUGUGGUGUAGGUCACAGACCCAGCUCGGAUCCCGCGUUGCUGUGGCUGUGGUGUAUGCUGGCAGC